This is a long non-coding RNA of Mya arenaria, 1429 nucleotides long. RefSeq lists it as uncharacterized. The record is from RefSeq and is a predicted model, not a curated record. The transcript has 2 exons. NCBI's taxonomy places the organism in Eukaryota, Metazoa, Mollusca, Bivalvia, Myida, Myidae.
UCCAUGUGACUCAUAUGACAUUUUACAAUGCGCAGUUGCAGUUGUGUUUGUUUACGGGGUGAAACAGUCGCUGUCAAACUUCAAGUUCGAUUGUAAUAACUUUUCUUGUGAAAAGAUGUAUAUUCCUGGAGAUACUGAUAUGAGUGCGGUCACUUUCCCCUGCGUGGUCCAUUGUGUGAUUUUGAUGAUGCCGUCUGUCAUAAAGCAGUGCGAUCAUAGGUCUGAAGUUGGAGGCAACAUGUUCACUCUCAUUGCAACCAUUAUCGAGGCUGCUCGUUGGCAUGGCGAUUGUCCGCUACAAAUGUUGUUCACAUCUGGGAAAGACGAUGAAUUGAUCCGGUUUGGACUAGUUGAACUUUUUACGUUCAUACCGACUAUCAUUCACAUUUUGAGGAUGUGUAGUGAUUGCGAAAAUACAAAAUUAUACGAAAAUGAAUGUUUAGGUUGUUACAGCGAAUUAGGAAAACAUGUGUUUCUGCUUCUUGUUAGUUGGCUUAUCCAUAUUGUUGGCUUUGGUAUAAGGCUGAAAAGGUGAAUGAAAUGACGCUUAUUUAAUUUGGAAGUGCAUAGCACAUUUAAGUAUAUGAUUAAGUAGAUGUCCAGUGUCAUAACUGUGACUUAGAUUUACCUGAUAGCCGUAUUUAAACAAUAACGUGGUUUUCUUUCUUUAUGAAGUAUUAUUGUUAUUAUAAAAUAAACAUAGCUGUUUUGCAUUCUAUAUUGUAGAAAGCCUACCAAAGUUUUGCACUAAGUCUAGUACAAUGUACUUCACACAAAGUUUAAGGUGGACGCCAGCUAUAGCAAUGGCCUAAGUUUUUCUAUAUUGAUUUACUGCUUACCAUUUCAGUUAAAAUUCGGUGACCGCCUCUGAUCAUAAAGUUGUUUUUUUGUGUGUGUGUUUUUUUACAUUAUGCUACCAACUUCGUAUUGAACACAGCUUGUAUACAGAAUAUAUAAUAAACCUAUCAAACCAUGGAAAGUCAAUACAAACAUAUAACCCAUGUUUGUCGCGAAAGCAUUUAACUAAUUUUGAGAAAAUUUAAUAAUUAUCAAGGGAGGGAACUCUUUCUUAGCGCCGAAUGUUUAAUUGUCCGCCCUUCUUUAUUUUGGCGCCUUUCUCACUUGUUCUCUAGUUUUAAUCCGGUUCGGACGUGUGUUUUCUCCCUCCCUCCCGCCCGAUUCUUUUCUUUCUUUUUGUCGAACAAGUUCUCAAUUUUAUCUUUGCUUACAUAGUUACCCCUUUUCUUCCCUCUUUUAUUUAAGGAUAUUGAAUAUUAUAUUAUGUUUUUUUUCACUUUAUUAUGCUUUCUGAUGUAGUGUAUCCUUGCAUUGAGGAUUUUUGGCUGCUUUUGACAAAACUUUAUAUCUAUGUUAAUUUCAUUUACAAUCUAGCAGCCCAUUAUUUCGGCCAAAUUAAAUUUAUAUUUUA